Long non-coding RNA from Aedes albopictus (Asian tiger mosquito), 1109 nucleotides. RefSeq lists it as uncharacterized. The transcript has 3 exons. The record is from RefSeq and is a predicted model, not a curated record. NCBI's taxonomy places the organism in Eukaryota, Metazoa, Arthropoda, Insecta, Diptera, Culicidae.
UAUUGUUACAAAUUAUUUGUUAUGUUAGACAUUAUUCGUAACCAAAUUGAAAAAUCACUGCGACGCGCAACACUGCACAUAAUCAUUGAAAUACAGUUGCUUUCGAGGCAACCCUAAGCACCACGAUACCACACGACAGCUCUCACGCUCUCGCGCUCUGAAAUCACUCUCCACGGCGAGGGCAUACACGAGCUGGUAUGCUACCGAUCAUUCGCUUUCUGCUGGCUUCACUAGUGGACGUUAAGACGUGCUCAACCAGGAAUAGUGGGUAUACACCGCGUGGAAAGGUCGAAUAUUACCACAGACCAAAUCGAUAGGCGUGCCGAACAACGAUUUUGUUCAACCAAGUCAUCGAGGCGCGAUCGCAGGGAAACCUGUGUAAGACCAACCACUAUUCCAGAAGAUCCCAUUCACACGCACAUGGCGUCCCACUAAUCGCUUCCUGGGCUCGUUACAAACCAACGAAAUCGCUCGUCGUUCACUGAAGCCAGCAAGAGCGGACACCAUUCCAGCUUGGACAGCAAAGCGAUCCGGCAAACGGUGCAAGGAAGGAAGAAACCGAAAAGGCUCUCCUCGGAGGUAAAUUCCAGCAUAAAUUCCAAUUGGAAUGUAUUUCUAAUUCCCGCUUUGUCAAACAGGGCCUUUUGAUCAGAGCCGUCAAGCCUGAUCACUCCACCACAGCACCGUAGCUUCAGCCGCGAACAGCAGAGAGAGUGAGAGCAAAAGAGGCACGCCAACACGACCUGCAUCGCCAGCAGCACGGCAGUGCUCGAGACACACGCACACCAGCGAUCCCGCACUUGCAUCCAAGCCGCGAGCCGGCGUUCACUCGAGCUGCAAGGCGGCAGCCGAGCCGAGGAGGGAGAAUGUGAAUGAAGUGACCGGGGUUGAAGAAGUGUGCGGUAGUGUGUGUGAAACGAACUGGUGUGUACCUGUGGAUCAACAAGCGCUGGUAGUGUUGGUAGCUGCACUUCACGACACCAAUUGAGUCUAGUUGCAGUUAGUGGUAGUGUGCAUGCGCAGUAGAUCGAGCUCGAAUAGUGAGCGCUCAAAGCGAGCGCGUUCUGAACAGCAGUAAAGAAGAAGAACGAAGAUAUCAUCGCAUUGAU